This 429-nucleotide ribosomal RNA is filed under the name Bacteroidota bacterium. RNAcentral's name for it is "Bacteroidetes bacterium partial 16S ribosomal RNA". It matches the Rfam family "Bacterial small subunit ribosomal RNA", at positions 355 to 776 of the family's 1533-position model. Lineage: Bacteria; Pseudomonadati; Bacteroidota. The record is from RNAcentral.
UAGGGAAUCUUCGGCAAUGGGGGGAACCCUGACCGAGCAACGCCGCGUGAGUGAAGAAGGUUUUCGGAUCGUAAAGCUCUGUUGUUAAGGAAGAACGAGUGUGAGAAUGGAAAGUUCAUACUGUGACGGUACUUAACCAGAAAGGGACGGCUAACUACGUGCCAGCAGCCGCGGUAAUACGUAGGUCCCGAGCGUUGUCCGGAUUUAUUGGGCGUAAAGCGAGCGCAGGCGGUUAGAAAAGUCUGAAGUGAAAGGCAGUGGCUCAACCAUUGUAGGCUUUGGAAACUGUUUAACUUGAGUGCAGAAGAGGAGAGUGGAAUUCCAUGUGUAGCGGUGAAAUGCGUAGAUAUAUGGAGGAACACCAGUGGCGAAGGCGACUCUCUGGUCUGUAACUGACGCUGAGGUUCGAAAGCGUGGGUAGCAAACAGG